This is a long non-coding RNA of Schistocerca serialis cubense, 401 nucleotides long. RefSeq lists it as uncharacterized. NCBI's taxonomy places the organism in Eukaryota, Metazoa, Arthropoda, Insecta, Orthoptera, Acrididae. The transcript is spliced from 4 exons. The record is from RefSeq and is a predicted model, not a curated record.
GCAGCACGGCGGCCGCCAUGAAGGGCGCAACCUACCUCUGCGCGGCGCUCCUCCUAUUCGCCUCAGUGCAGGCAAACCGGGAGUGCACGGCUGGCGAAACUAAGCGGGAAAGCUGCAAAGUGUGCACGUGUUCCGCGACUGGAGUGUGGGUCUGUCCAGACAAGUACUGCGUACCGGGAACUACGUACAUGGACAACUGUAACGUGUGCCGGUGUGGAGACGACGGCAUAUCGGCAGCCUGUACGCUCAAGGGCUGCGGUGGAAAUUAAAAUCCAGGUAUUGUCCACGAGCUCACCUUGCUGUUGGAGAAGGGGUCAGCUGCAAUACGACGCCCUCCAUCUACCUGCGAUGUACUUCUAGGACAUGACGCGCUUCCAGUGAAUACUGUCUGUACCAUUGCU